RNAcentral lists this unclassified non-coding RNA (499 nucleotides) under uncultured Glomus. RNAcentral's name for it is "SSU rRNA". It matches the Rfam family "Eukaryotic small subunit ribosomal RNA", at positions 591 to 1092 of the family's 1831-position model. The record is from RNAcentral. Lineage: Eukaryota; Fungi; Glomeromycota; Glomeromycetes; Glomerales; Glomeraceae.
CCAAUAGCGUAUAUUAAAGUUGUUGCAGUUAAAAAGCUCGUAGUUGAAUUUCGGGAUCAAGUCGUCGGUCGUGCCUCGGUACGCACUGGUGACAUUGGUUUCUCCCUUCUGAAGAACCUUGAUGUCAUUAAUUUGGUGUCUUGGGGAAUCAGGACUGUUACUUUGAAAAAAUUAGAGUGUUUAAAGCAGGCUCACGCUUGAAUACAUUAGCAUGGAAUAAUGAAAUAGGACGUUUGAUUCUAUUUUGUUGGUUUCUAGGAUCGACGUAAUGAUUAAUAGGGAUAGUUGGGGGCAUUAGUAUUCAAUUGUCAGAGGUGAAAUUCUUGGAUUUAUUGAAGACUAACUACUGCGAAAGCAUUUGCCAAGGAUGUUUUCAUUAAUCAAGAACGAAAGUUAGGGGAUCGAAGACGAUCAGAUACCGUCGUAGUCUUAACCAUAAACUAUGCCGACUAGGGAUCGGAUGAUGUGAAUUUUUUAAUGACUCAUUCGGCGCCUUACG